GAUGAACGCUGGCGGCGUGCCUAAUACAUGCAAGUCGAACGCUUCACUUCGGUGAAGAGUGGCGAAUGGGUGAGUAAUACAUAAGUAACCUGGCAUCUACAGGGGGAUAACUGAUGGAAACGUCAGCUAAGAUCGCAUAGGUGUAGAGAUCGCAUGAACUCUAUAUGAAAAGUGCUACGGGACUGGUAGAUGAUGGACUUAUGGCGCAUUAGCUGGUUGGUAGGGUAACGGCCUACCAAGGCGACGAUGCGUAGCCGACCUGAGAGGGUAACCGGCCACACUGGGACUGAGACACGGCCCAGACUCCUACGGGAGGCAGCAGUAGGGAAUUUUCGGCAAUGGGGGAAACCCUGACCGAGCAACGCCGCGUGAAGGAAGAAGUAAUUCGUUAUGUAAACUUCUGUCAUAGAGGAAGAACGGUGGAUAUAGGGAAUGAUAUCCAAGUGACGGUACUCUAUAAGAAAGCCACGGCUAACUACGUGCCAGCAGCCGCGGUAA
Molecule: ribosomal RNA, 498 nt
Filed under: uncultured bacterium
Lineage: Bacteria
Description: partial 16S ribosomal RNA
Rfam family: Bacterial small subunit ribosomal RNA
Source: RNAcentral